This 497-nucleotide ribosomal RNA is filed under the name uncultured bacterium. Its description in RNAcentral is "partial 16S ribosomal RNA". It matches the Rfam family "Bacterial small subunit ribosomal RNA", at positions 28 to 507 of the family's 1533-position model. The record is from RNAcentral.
GAUGAACGCUGGCGGCGUGCCUAACACAUGCAAGUCGAGCGAAAAGACGAGGAGCUUGCUCCUCUCACGUUAGCGGCGGACGGGUGUGACACACGAGUAUACCCCACCUAUCUGACUGGGAUCACUUCGGAACUCCGGCGCAAACCCCGGAUAAUCUAUUGAUCCACAUGGUUCAAUAGUAAAUGACGGUUUUGCUGUAUCUACUCGCUGGUUCCGAGCCGCUUUAGCUAGUUGGUAAGGUAACGGCUUACCACGGCUACGAUGCGUAGCCGACCGGAGAGGAGGAUCGGCCACACGGGAACGGAGACACGGACAAGACUCCUGCGGGAGGGAGCAGAAGGGAAUCGGCGGCAGUGGUCGAAAGCUUGACGGAGCGACGCGGCGUGUGUGAUGAAGGUCUUCGGAGCGUAAAGCUCUGUUAUUAGGGAUGAACAGAUGUGGAAGGAACUGUGGACGUCUUGACGGUAACUAAUCAGAAAGCAACGGCUAACUACGUG